GGAGUUGUAGCUUAGUGGUAGAGUAUCUGCUUGUUAUGCAGAAGCCCCCAGUUUCAAUCCCCAAUAUCUCCA
This 72-nucleotide transfer RNA is filed under the name Sphaerodactylus townsendi. RNAcentral describes it as "tRNA-Asn". It matches the Rfam family "tRNA". Rfam says of the family: Transfer RNA (tRNA) molecules are approximately 80 nucleotides in length. The record is from RNAcentral. Lineage: Eukaryota; Metazoa; Chordata; Lepidosauria; Squamata; Sphaerodactylidae.